AUUGAACGCUGGCGGCAGGCCUAACACAUGCAAGUCGAACGAGUGGCGGACGGGUGAGUAAUGUCUGGGAAACUGCCUGAUGGAGGGGGAUAACUACUGGAACCGGUAGCUAAUACCGCCUACCAUCAGUUGUGUCCAGGUGGGAUUAGCUAGUGGGUGGGGUAACGGCUCACCAGGGAGACGAUCCCUACCUGGUCUGAGAGGAUGACCAGCCACACUGGAACUGAGACACGGUCCAGACUCCUACGGGAGGCAGCAGUGGGGAAUAUUGGACAAUGGGCGAAAGCCUGAUGCAGCAAUGCCGCGUGUAUGAAGAAGGCUUUCGGAUUGUAAAGUACUUUCAGCGGGGAGGCGUUACCCGCAGAAGAAGCACCGGCUAACUCCGUGCCAGCAGCCGCGGUAAUAC
RNAcentral lists this ribosomal RNA (406 nucleotides) under uncultured bacterium. Its description in RNAcentral is "partial 16S ribosomal RNA". It matches the Rfam family "Bacterial small subunit ribosomal RNA", at positions 30 to 526 of the family's 1533-position model. The record is from RNAcentral.